AACGCAAGUGGCGCUCUUAUGCUUGCAUGGGAGCAUGCCUCUUUCAGCAUCGGUUAUUCUUUACUCGCCUGGCUGCUUAACUGCUAGCUUUAUGGCGGAGAAUGAGCUGUCGCUUUUUUUUUGUUUUUCUUAGCGUAUAGUAGAGUACGCAUCUCUGGCUCGAUCUAUAAGGGUGAGUCCCUGUAGUGAAAGUGAGUGUGUGCGGACUUUUGCUGUGGCUGAACCCAAAAACAAAAAGCUAAUAAAAGCGUCGCUUGAAGUUGGGCGAGCUCAGUCGCAUAGUUUCACUGAGAAAGUGACGUUGGUAAGAGUAAAGAAACCUUUUUUUUAAUAAAAAAAGGGUUUUCUUUUACUUCAACCGCCGCGUCCGCUUUCGUUUGCAGGUGUUAAACUAUAGAGCUUCGAACGAGUAGGUAUGCGCUUCUGAAAAGAAAACGUAGACUGUACGAGUUCAAACUUUUAACGACUUGAUCUGAAAUGAGGUAAGAGGACCCGCCGAAUUUAA
This 505-nucleotide unclassified non-coding RNA is filed under the name uncultured fungus. RNAcentral describes it as "partial internal transcribed spacer 2". Lineage: Eukaryota; Fungi. The record is from RNAcentral.